GCCAGGGUGGCAGAAUCCGGUAUUGCGCUGGUCUUGAAAACCAGUUCCCGCAAGGGAUUUAGGGCUCGAAUCCCUACCCUGGCG
This 84-nucleotide transfer RNA is filed under the name Microcaldota archaeon. RNAcentral's name for it is "tRNA-Ser". It matches the Rfam family "tRNA". From Rfam's summary of the family: Transfer RNA (tRNA) molecules are approximately 80 nucleotides in length. Their secondary structure includes four short double-helical elements and three loops (D, anti-codon, and T loops). Further hydrogen bonds mediate the characteristic L-shaped molecular structure. tRNAs have two regions of fundamental functional importance: the anti-codon, which is responsible for specific mRNA codon recognition, and the 3' end, to which the tRNAs corresponding amino acid is attached (by aminoacyl-tRNA synthetases). tRNAs cope with the degeneracy of the genetic code in two manners: having more than one tRNA (with a specific anti-codon) for a particular amino acid; and 'wobble' base-pairing, i.e. permitting non-standard base-pairing at the 3rd anti-codon position. The record is from RNAcentral. Lineage: Archaea; Nanobdellati; Microcaldota.